This 791-nucleotide ribosomal RNA is filed under the name uncultured bacterium. RNAcentral's name for it is "bacterial SSU rRNA". It matches the Rfam family "Bacterial small subunit ribosomal RNA", at positions 82 to 888 of the family's 1533-position model. The record is from RNAcentral.
UUCGGGCAGUCACGUGGCGGACGGGUGCGUAACACGUGGGGAACCUGCCCCGAGGUGGGGGAUAUCCGUCGGAAACGGCGGGCAAUCCCGCAUGAGAUCGGCUCGCGCAGGCGGGUCGAGGAAAGCCGCGAGGCGCCUUGGGAGGGUCCUGCGGCCGAUUAGGUAGACGGCGGGGUAACGGCCCACCGUGCCGAUGAUCGGUAGCUGGUCUGAGAGGACGGCCAGCCACACGGGGACUGAGAGACGGCCCCGACUCCUACGGGAGGCAGCAGCAAGGAAUCUUCCGCAAUGGGCGAAAGCCUGACGGAGCAACGCCGCGUGGGGGAUGAAGCCUUUCGGGGUGUAAACCUCUUUUCUCGGGGACGAAGAUCUGACGGUACCCGAGGAAUAAGGACCGGCUAACUACGUGCCAGCAGCCGCGGUAAUACGUAGGGUCCGAGCGUUGUCCGGAGUUACUGGGCGUAAAGCGCGCGCAGGUGGCGUCGCAAGUCUGGCGUGAAAGCCCCCGGCUCAACCGGGGAGGGUCGUCGGAUACUGCGGUGCUUGAGGGAGGCAGGGGUCGGUGGAAUGCCCGGUGUAGUGGUGAAAUGCGUAGAGAUCGGGCGGAACACCCGUGGCGAAGGCGGCCGACUGGGCCUAACCUGACACUGAGGCGCGAAGGCGUGGGGAGCGAACGGGAUUAGAUACCCCGGUAGUCCACGCAGUAAACGAUGCAGACUGGGCGUGGGGGGACUUGACCCCCUCCGUGCCGGAGCCAACGCGUGAAGUCUGCCGCCUGGGGAGUACGGCCG